This 253-nucleotide unclassified non-coding RNA is filed under the name uncultured Myxococcales bacterium. Its description in RNAcentral is "contains 16S-23S intergenic spacer region". It matches the Rfam family "Bacterial small subunit ribosomal RNA", at positions 524 to 776 of the family's 1533-position model. The record is from RNAcentral. Lineage: Bacteria; Pseudomonadati; Myxococcota; Myxococcia; Myxococcales.
GACAGAGGGUGCAAGCGUUGUUCGGAAUCAUUGGGCGUAAAGCGCACGUAGGCGGCGCUGCAAGUCGGAUGUGAAAGCCCUGGGCUCAACCCAGGAAGCGCAUCCGAAACUGCAGUGCUUGAGUCCCGGAGAGGGUGGUGGAAUUCCUGGUGUAGAGGUGAAAUUCGUAGAUAUCAGGAGGAACACCGGUGGCGAAGGCGACCACCUGGACGGAGACUGACGCUGAGGUGCGAAAGCGUGGGGAGCAAACAGG